AUGCCAUUCCUUCCUUUAUACCCAAAAGUCAAGGGAGCUGAAUCUAUCUCUCAGUUCCGCCCCAUUGCCUUGAUCAACAAUUUUGCUACGUUCCCUGCUAAAGAGUUGGCGAUGAGGUUGUCACCUGUUUCCCACCGUACCAUUAGUCCUACCCAAUCUGCUUUUAUUAAAGGUAGGUUUAUUUUAGAUGGUGUUCUCUGUCUACACGAGAUUGUUCACGAUGUCAGAAUGAGAGGAACAAGGGCGAUCAUUCUCAAGCUUGACUUUGAGAAAGCUUAUGAUUUGGUUAGCUGGGAAUUCCUUCGCCAUGUUCUUCAUUCUUAG
Molecule: ribosomal RNA, 324 nt
Filed under: Triticum aestivum (bread wheat)
Lineage: Eukaryota; Viridiplantae; Streptophyta; Magnoliopsida; Poales; Poaceae
Description: partial small subunit ribosomal RNA
Source: RNAcentral